Molecule: long non-coding RNA, 290 nt
Organism: Zophobas morio
Lineage: Eukaryota; Metazoa; Arthropoda; Insecta; Coleoptera; Tenebrionidae
Exons: 4
Source: RefSeq, a predicted model, not a curated record
CCCAACAAAGUAACUUAUCGUACAAGCCAUCCGUCCAAUUUUUGGAACACGACCAGGAACCAGUAAUAAACGCGCAUCUCUCAGAACAGCUAAGGUUAUACGGCCCUCUUUUUCUAAUUGAUUUACUCGACAGAAAAGGCUCGGAAGAGUUAUUGAGUGCAGCUUACGAAAGGCACGUUUUGCGACUAAAUUCGGAAGAUAUCAGAUACUUGUCAUAUGACUAUCAUAGCCAACCUGAACGAGAGCUUAAAAAAUUUAAAUUUUUAUUUGCUUCGAUUUCUGAAAUCUGU